This 68-nucleotide transfer RNA is filed under the name Paduniella communis. Its description in RNAcentral is "tRNA-Val". Lineage: Eukaryota; Metazoa; Arthropoda; Insecta; Trichoptera; Psychomyiidae. The record is from RNAcentral.
CAAAUUAAAACUUAUAGGAAGUGUUUUAUUUACAAUAAAUUUAAAUUGUGCGAAUCAAUAUAAUUUGA